This 381-nucleotide ribosomal RNA is filed under the name uncultured bacterium. RNAcentral's name for it is "bacterial SSU rRNA". It matches the Rfam family "Bacterial small subunit ribosomal RNA", at positions 28 to 410 of the family's 1533-position model. The record is from RNAcentral.
GACGAACGCUGGCGGCGUGCUUAACACAUGCAAGUCGAGCGGUAAGGCCCUUUCGGGGUACGACGAGCGGCGAACGGGUGAGUAACACGUGGGUGACCUGCCCUCAGCUCUGGGAUAAGCCUGGGAAACCGGGUCUAAUACCGGAUAUGACUCCAUGACGCAUGUUGUGGGGUGGAAAGCCUUGUGCGGCUGAGGAUGGGCCCGCGGCCUAUCAGCUUGUUGGUGGGGUGAUGGCCUACCAAGGCGACGACGGGUAGCCGGCCUGAGAGGGCGACCGGCCACACUGGGACUGAGACACGGCCCAGACUCCUACGGGAGGCAGCAGUGGGGAAUCUUGCGCAAUGGGCGAAAGCCUGACGCAGCGACGCCGCGUGAGGGAUG